RNAcentral lists this ribosomal RNA (253 nucleotides) under uncultured bacterium. RNAcentral's name for it is "partial 16S ribosomal RNA". It matches the Rfam family "Bacterial small subunit ribosomal RNA", at positions 524 to 776 of the family's 1533-position model. The record is from RNAcentral.
UACAGAGGGUGCGAGCGUUAAUCGGAAUUACUGGGCGUAAAGGGCGCGUAGGCGGUUUAUUAAGUUGGAUGUGAAAUGCCCGGGCUUAACCUGGGAGUGGCAUCUGAUACUGAUAAGCUAGAGUGUUGGAGAGGGGAGUGGAAUUUCCAGUGUAGCGGUGAAAUGCGUAGAUAUCAGGAGGAACACCUGCGGUGUAGACGGCUUUCUGGACCAUUGCUGACGCUGAGACACGAAAGCGUGGGUAGCAAACAGG